UGGGGAAUUUUGGACAAUGGGGGAAACCCUGAUCCAGCCAUCCCGCGUGUGCGAUGAAGGCCUUCGGGUUGUAAAGCACUUUUGGCAGGAAAGAAACGUCGCGGGUUAAUACCCCGCGAAACUGACGGUACCUGCAGAAUAAGCACCGGCUAACUACGUGCCAGCAGCCGCGGUAAUACGUAGGGUGCAAGCGUUAAUCGGAGUUACUGGGCGUAAAGCGUGCGCAGGCGGUUCGGAAAGAAAGAUGUGAAAUCCCAGAGCUUAACUUUGGAACUGCAUUUUUAACUACCGGGCUAGAGUGUGUCAGAGGGAGGUGGAAUUCCGCGUGUAGCAGUGAAAUGCGUAGAUAUGCGGAGGAACACCGAUGGCGAAGGCAGCCUCCUGGGAUAACACUGACGCUCAUGCACGAAAGCGUGGGGAGCAAACAGGAUUAGAUACCCUGGUAGUCCACGCCCUAAACGAUGUCAACUAGCUGUUGGGGCCUUCGGGCCUUGGUAGCGCAGCUAACGCGUGAAGUUGACCGCCUGGGGAGUACGGUCGCAAGAUUAAAACUCAAAUGAA
Molecule: ribosomal RNA, 561 nt
Filed under: uncultured bacterium
Lineage: Bacteria
Description: partial 16S ribosomal RNA
Rfam family: Bacterial small subunit ribosomal RNA
Source: RNAcentral